CGGCUCUGCUUUUAUCUGAUCAUACACUAAACUUCUGCUUCUGAUUUUGUUGAACAAGAAGGAGACUCCAGAAGCAUUCUGGGGACCAGCCCUUCGGAGUGACCAGUUGCCUGCAGAAGGGGCCAAGCACUAUACUGAGCAUGUGACGUUCAAGAAGAGGUGGACAGCUCACACCUCAGGGAUCCGAGUCCUUCCUGCCCCUCAGCCCACUGCACUCAUGGGGACAGCUCCCUCCAC
Long non-coding RNA from Fukomys damarensis (Damara mole-rat), 237 nucleotides. RefSeq lists it as uncharacterized. Lineage: Eukaryota; Metazoa; Chordata; Mammalia; Rodentia; Bathyergidae. The record is from RefSeq and is a predicted model, not a curated record. The transcript is spliced from 3 exons.